GGCUCUCAGACCUUUCGGAGCUUCCAUCUGUGUCCCUGUGAACAUCAACAGGACUUGUUUCCAGAACCUCAGCUGUUCCAGAUUCAAUGGCAUCCCCAGCCCCACAAAGUCAGCCUUGUGCUUACUGACUACAUGGUGUGGCUUUCUCACGCCUCCUGCUUGGCAUGGACAGUCUUGUCUCUGCCCAUCACAUUCCUACCCUUCGUUCAAGACCCAGACACCAAAUGCUCAAACCCAGAUGGUGGUUAAGAGGAUGGAAUCUACAACCAGAUUGACCAGUUUCCUUUGCAGUAAAAUGUGAAUAAAAAGAAAAUCUACAUAAUAAUAGAUAUUCUGUGAGGAUUACAUGAAUUCAUAUUUGAAGAGUGAGCAGAAGGGUUCCUGGCACAAGCUCUACAAGUGUGACUGGAACGAAGACGAUGAUGAGGAUGAAGAUGAGGAUGGCAAGGCUGGAGCUCAAGUGCCACACUGUGUCCUGGAGCAGAAGCCACGUGUUGAGGACAGUCUGGACCCUUAACGAGGGUUGAGC
This is a long non-coding RNA of Rhinopithecus roxellana (golden snub-nosed monkey), 529 nucleotides long. RefSeq lists it as uncharacterized. The record is from RefSeq and is a predicted model, not a curated record. Lineage: Eukaryota; Metazoa; Chordata; Mammalia; Primates; Cercopithecidae. The transcript has 3 exons.